Molecule: unclassified non-coding RNA, 165 nt
Filed under: soil metagenome
Description: partial internal transcribed spacer 1
Source: RNAcentral
CCGAGUUUACAAACUCCCAACCCUAUGUGAACCAUACCUAUCGUUGCUUCGGCGGGCUUUAGCCCCCGCGCCCUCCGGGGCGCCGGGAAACAGGCGCCCGCCGGAGACCCAAACUCAAUGUUUUUCAUGCAGUAUUAUCUGAGUGGCAAACGCAAAAAUAAAUCA